GACGAACGCUGGCGGCGUGCCUAAUACAUGCAAGUCGUGCGGACCUUGUUGAAAGCUUGCUUUUAAAAGGUUAGCGGCGGACGGGUGAGUAACACGUGGGCAACCUGCCUGUAAGACUGGGAUAACGCCGGGAAACCGGGGCUAAUACCAGAUCGUUUUUUCCUCCGCAUGGAGGAAAAAGGAAAGGCGGCUUCGGCUGCCACUUACAGAUGGGCCCGCGGCGCAUUAGCUAGUUGGCGGGGUAAUGGCCCACCAAGGCAACGAUGCGUAGCCGACCUGAGAGGGUGAUCGGCCACAUUGGGACUGAGACACGGCCCAAACUCCUACGGGAGGCAGCAGUAGGGAAUCUUCCGCAAAGGACGAAAGUCUGACGGAGCAACGCCGCGUGAGUGAAGAAGGCCUUCGGGUCGUAAAACUCUGUUGCCGGGGAAGAACAAGUGCCGUUCGAACAGGGCGGCGCCUUGACGGUACCCGGCCAGAAAGCCACGGCUAACUACGU
RNAcentral lists this ribosomal RNA (499 nucleotides) under uncultured bacterium. Its description in RNAcentral is "partial 16S ribosomal RNA". It matches the Rfam family "Bacterial small subunit ribosomal RNA", at positions 28 to 506 of the family's 1533-position model. The record is from RNAcentral.